GGACUACUGGGGUAUCUAAUCCUGUUUGCUCCCCACGCUUUCGCACCUCAGUGUCAGUGUUGGACCAGGAAGCCGCCUUCGCCACUGAUGUUCCUCCAGAUAUCUACGCAUUUCACCGCUACACCUGGAAUUCCACUUCCCUCUUCCACACUCUAGCAAGGCAGUCUUGAAUGCAAUUCCCAAGUUAAGCCCGGGGAUUUCACACCCAACUUACCAAGCCACCUACGUGCGCUUUACGCCCAGUAAUUCCGAUUAACGCUUGCACCCUCUGUAUUACCGCGGCUGCUGGCAC
RNAcentral lists this ribosomal RNA (292 nucleotides) under uncultured bacterium. Its description in RNAcentral is "partial 16S ribosomal RNA". The record is from RNAcentral.